This 810-nucleotide ribosomal RNA is filed under the name uncultured bacterium. Its description in RNAcentral is "bacterial SSU rRNA". It matches the Rfam family "Bacterial small subunit ribosomal RNA", at positions 8 to 796 of the family's 1533-position model. The record is from RNAcentral.
AGAGUUUGAUCAUGGCUCAGAACGAACGCUGGCGGCGUGGAUAAGACAUGCAAGUCGGACGAGAUUUUUCGUUGUAGCAAUACGAUGGAAAGUCUAGUGGCGAACGGGUGCUUAACACGUGGGCAAUCUGUCUUAAAGUGGGGGGAUAGCUCGGCGAAAGCCGAAUUAAUACCGCAUGUGAUUAGAGUGGACAUCCAUUCAAAAUUAAAGUCGGGGCAACCUGACGCUUUUUGAGGAGCCCGCGGCCUAUCAGCUAGUUGGUGAGGUAACGGCUCACCAAGGCUUUGACGGGUAGCUGGUCUGAGAGGACGACCAGCCACACUGGGACUGAGACACGGCCCAGACACCUACGGGUGGCAGCAGUCGAGAAUUUUUCUCAAUGGGGGAAACCCUGAAGGAGCGACGCCGCGUGGAGGAUGAAGGUCUUCGGAUUGUAAACUCCUGUCAUUGGGGAACAAGGUGCAUACGUUAACUGCGUGUGCAUUGAUAGUACCCGAAGAGGAAGAGACGGCUAACUCUGUGCCAGCAGCCGCGGUAAUACAGAGGUCUCAAGCGUUGUUCGGAUUCAUUGGGCGUAAAGGGUGCGUAGGCGGCGCGGUAAGUCGGGUGUGAAAUCUCGGAGCUUAACUCCGAAACUGCAUUCGAUACUGCCGUGCUCGAGGACUGGAGAGGAGACUGGAAUUUACGGUGUAGCGGUGAGAUGCGUAGAUAUCGUAAGGAAGACCAGUGGCGAAGGCGGGUCUCUGGACAGUUCCUGACGCUGAGGCACGAAGGUCAGGGGACAAACGGGAUUAGAUACCCUAGUAGUCC